RNAcentral lists this ribosomal RNA (253 nucleotides) under uncultured bacterium. RNAcentral describes it as "partial 16S ribosomal RNA". It matches the Rfam family "Bacterial small subunit ribosomal RNA", at positions 524 to 776 of the family's 1533-position model. The record is from RNAcentral.
UACGGGGGGGGUAAGCGUUGUUCGGAAUUACUGGGCGUAAAGGGCUCGUAGGCGGCCAACUAAGUCGGACGUGAAAUCCCUCAGCUUAACUGGGGAACUGCGUCUGAUACUGGAUGGCUUGAGUUCGGGAGAGGGAUGCGGAAUUCCAGGUGUAGCGGUGAAAUGCGUAGAUAUCUGGAGGAACACCGGUGGCGAAGGCGGCAUCCUGGACCGACACUGACACUGAGGAGCGAAAGCCAGGGGAGCAAACGGG